Non-coding RNA from Paramuricea clavata, 75 nucleotides. The record is from the annotation of a GenBank genome assembly. Lineage: Eukaryota; Metazoa; Cnidaria; Anthozoa; Malacalcyonacea; Plexauridae.
GGCCUUAUAGCUCAAUGGUUAGAGCGUCUGCCCGGUUACUCAGAAGGUUACGUGUUUCAAUUCCCGUUAGGGCUC